Piliocolobus tephrosceles (Ugandan red Colobus) is the source of this 1035-nucleotide long non-coding RNA. RefSeq lists it as uncharacterized. Lineage: Eukaryota; Metazoa; Chordata; Mammalia; Primates; Cercopithecidae. The transcript has 2 exons. The record is from RefSeq and is a predicted model, not a curated record.
GUGAUCGAUUCCCAGUGCCAUCCUGAACCACGAGAUUGGAAUAUCGCACCUUUCAACUGCCUGGGCUGAUAAACAAUACAGCAUGUACUCAGCUUCAUAAACACUCUGCCUUGUUACAAAGGGCACUGCAAACUCGCUGUGAUAGGACUUGACCUUAAAAGCUAUAGACAAUCUAGCGGAGCACAGACGGUUUCAUAAAGUACAAUCACUUCCUGGAAUUCUUGGGCCAGUGCAGUCGGAGCCGUGCAAAUCCUGUUUUCCUUGCAUUGUUUCCUGCAUGUGAAUAUCAUCAGUCUAGCACUCUUGCUCUGUCACCAGGCUGGAGUGCAGUGGGGCAAUCUCGGCUCACUGCAACCUCUGCCUCCCGCAUUCAAGCGAUUCUCCUGCCUCAGUGUCCUGAGUAGCUGGGACUAGAGGUGCCCGCCACCAUGCGCUGAUCAUUUCUGUCUUUUUAGUAGAGACCAUGUUCACCAUGUUGGCCAGACUGGUCUCGAUCUCUUGACCUCAUGAUCUGCUGGCCUCGGCCUCCCAAAGUGCUGGGAUUAUAGGCGUGAGCCACUGUGCCUGGCCCAUCGAACUUUUUAAUAUAGAUUGUAUGAUGUUUUCAUUAAAAAAACUGGGCUCAGAAAGGCUGUAUAAAGCCACACAGUCAGCAAGCAGCAGAGUCUGCAUUUUAAUCCAGACAUUCAUGGCUUCAAAGCAAUGUUAUUUAACUCUAACAAUGCAAUUGAACUAACAACUGACAUCAGACACAAAUAUUCUGAAGAACCUGGAGAAAUAGAAAAGAAUUGGAUAGAACUCAUGGGCAGAAGCUGUCCAUCAGGGAGAGGAAAUAAAUGGCAUUGUUCAGCCAUGAAGCCAUAUAACUUCAACCUGACUUUUCUUCUCUAUUGUCCUAUGUCAUUGUCUAGCUUGUAAUGUGGUCACAAUCAUGUCACAUGGCUGACUUCCUGCAUAUUUGGUUUCCUCAUGGGAGUUUAGUAAUUCCUGAUUGAUUUAGAGCAAUAAAAUAAACUAAAAUAAAUUCUAUUUUUU